RNAcentral lists this ribosomal RNA (172 nucleotides) under uncultured Hyphomicrobiaceae bacterium. RNAcentral's name for it is "partial 16S ribosomal RNA". It matches the Rfam family "Bacterial small subunit ribosomal RNA", at positions 356 to 540 of the family's 1533-position model. The record is from RNAcentral. Lineage: Bacteria; Pseudomonadati; Pseudomonadota; Alphaproteobacteria; Hyphomicrobiales; Hyphomicrobiaceae.
UGGGAUUGCGCAUGGGCGCAGCCUGAUCCAGCCAUGCCGCGUGAGUGAUGAAGGCCUUCGGGUUGUAAAGCUCUUUCAACCGGGAAGAUAGUGACGGUACCCGUACAAUAAGCCCCUGCUAACUUCGUGCCAGCAGCCGCGGUAAUAAUCCAUGCCAGCAGCCGAGGUAAUA